CCUUCGAUAGCUCAGCUGGUAGAGCGGAGGACUGUAGUGGCGCUGCCUGGCGGUUAUCCUUAGGUCGCUGGUUCGAUUCCGGCUCGAAGGA
RNAcentral lists this transfer RNA (91 nucleotides) under Calypte anna (Anna's hummingbird). It matches the Rfam family "tRNA". Rfam says of the family: Transfer RNA (tRNA) molecules are approximately 80 nucleotides in length. The record is from Rfam by way of RNAcentral. Lineage: Eukaryota; Metazoa; Chordata; Aves; Apodiformes; Trochilidae.